GUCGAGCGGUAGAGAGAAGCUUGCUUCUCUUGAGAGCGGCGGACGGGUGAGUAAUGCCUAGGAAUCUGCCUGGUAGUGGGGGAUAACGUUCGGAAACGGACGCUAAUACCGCAUACGUCCUACGGGAGAAAGCAGGGGACCUUCGGGCCUUGCGCUAUCAGAUGAGCCUAGGUCGGAUUAGCUAGUUGGUGAGGUAAUGGCUCACCAAGGCGACGAUCCGUAACUGGUCUGAGAGGAUGAUCAGUCACACUGGAACUGAGACACGGUCCAGACUCCUACGGGAGGCAGCAGUGGGGAAUAUUGGACAAUGGGCGAAAGCCUGAUCCAGCCAUGCCGCGUGUGUGAAGAAGGUCUUCGGAUUGUAAAGCACUUUAAGUUGGGAGGAAGGGCAGUUACCUAAUACGUGAUUGUUUUGACGUUACCGACAGAAUAAGCACCGGCUAACUCUGUGCCAGCAGCCGCGGUAAUACAGAGGGUGCAAGCGUUAAUCGGAAUUACUGGGCGUAAAGCGCGCGUAGGUGGUUUGUUAAGUUGGAUGUGAAAUCCCCGGGCUCAACCUGGGAACUGCAUUCAAAACUGACUGACUAGAGUAUGGUAGAGGGUGGUGGAAUUUCCUGUGUAGCGGUGAAAUGCGUAGAUAUAGGAAGGAACACCAGUGGCGAAGGCGACCACCUGGACUGAUACUGACACUGAGGUGCGAAAGCGUGGGGAGCAAACAGGAUUAGAUACCCUGGUAGUCCACGCCGUAAACGAUGUCAACUAGCCGUUGGGAGCCUUGAGCUCUUAGUGGCGCAGCUAACGCAUUAAGUUGACCGCCUGG
Molecule: ribosomal RNA, 820 nt
Filed under: Pseudomonas extremaustralis
Lineage: Bacteria; Pseudomonadati; Pseudomonadota; Gammaproteobacteria; Pseudomonadales; Pseudomonadaceae
Description: bacterial SSU rRNA
Rfam family: Bacterial small subunit ribosomal RNA
Source: RNAcentral